This 2915-nucleotide long non-coding RNA is filed under the name Capsicum annuum. RNAcentral's name for it is "long non-coding RNA (CANN_LNC013526)". The record is from RNAcentral. Lineage: Eukaryota; Viridiplantae; Streptophyta; Magnoliopsida; Solanales; Solanaceae.
AAUUUUUAAAUAUUAAGUUAAUCUACUUUAAGUUAGGUCAGGAUGUUAGUCAAAUUGAUUCUCGUGAAGCGAAAUAGGCCAAGUAACAAAGGGGUGGAGGAAGUAUAUAUGAAGGGGAGCUGUGACGUAACUUGUAAAGUUGUUGUCAUGUGACUAGGAGGUUGCGGGUUCAAGUCGUGGAAACAACCUCUUAAAGAAAUGCAAUGCAGGAUAAGGUUGUGUCCAAUAUACCCUUGUGGUCCGAAUUUUUCCGGACUCCGCACAAAGUGGGAGCUUUAGUGCAUUUGUCUGUCUCUAUUUGUGUGUGUAUAUGUGUGUGUAUGUAUGUAUUUUACAUCAUUUUGUGUACAUGAUGAAUGUUAUUGUUAGUAGCUAAAUGAUUAUUGCUAUGAGGCAAAUUGAGUUUUUAGAGACAGUGGGUUUUAGAGGCGGAGUCAGUAUUUCAACUUUUAUGUGUUUUGGAUUUUAAAUGGCGACUUUAGUUGAUAGUAGCCCGUUUUUACUUGCCUUGGUGAGGGAUGUUUUGACAUGAUGUAUUCAAGGGGAGGUGCAUUGGGUGGUGUAUGUUAUUUGCUGAUAAUGUUGUACUAAUUGAUGAGACUCGGAGAGAAGUUAAUGCUAAGUUGGAGGUUUGGCGACAGGCCCUAGAGUCUAAAGGGUUUUGGUUGAGCAGGACUAAGACUGAGUACUUGGAAUGUAAGUUCGUCAUUCCCCUGAAUCAUAUAUCUAAGAUACUUAAAACUAUCCCUCUUUCGAAUGGCCUGAUAAUCUAGCUUUAUUACCACAUCGACCUCAUGCGUCGAAUUGCUGAACUUACAUUCCAAGUACUCAGUCUUAGUCCUGAUCAACCAAAACCCUUUAGACUCUAGGGUCUGUCGCCAAACCUCCAACUUAGCAUUAACUCCUCUCUGAGUCUCGUCAAUUAGUACAACAUUAUCAGCAACAUCAAACACCUAAUAGGCACUAAAAAUAGAGAACCCAAAUUCCUGUUCUUCGUCAUCACACAAUUUGCUUAAAUCCCUAAGCACUAAGGGUUGGUGUUUCCACGAUGUCAAUUUCGUAAAUUCACUCAUUCCACCUCAAUCAUCAUGCAUUGUUGAUUCUUUUGAAUCAAAGCUGUUAAAUAUGGACUUGCGAUCCAUCGGUGGAAAAUCAUUGCCUGAAUUUUCACUUCUUCAUAAAUCUCCUCAUAUUCAUGGCCCUAAAGUUCUUCAAGUAAUUAUCUUCCCUUCUGAAGAUAUAUUUUUUAAUCAUAUUAACAUGAUAAUGAUUGCAACUUAUAAUACUUUUCAUAUAGUUUAUGAUAUCUAAAUUCGGAAAAGUGAUAUAUAUACUCCCGAACUAUGAUAAAUGGUACGUAUAUACCCUCCGUCAUACUUUGGGUAUACAUAUGCCCCUAUCGUUAGUGUGAGGGGCACAUACAUACCAUUUUAUUAACGGUAGGGCCAUAUGUGUACCCAUAGUAUGACGGAGGGUAUAUACUUAUCACUUAUCAUAGUUCGAGGGUAUAUUUGUCCCUUUUCCGAUCUAAAUUUUUAAAUAUUAAGUUAAUCUACUUUAAGUUAGGCCAAGAUGUUAGUCAAAUUAAUUCUCGUGAAGUGAAAUAGGCCAAGUUAAAAAGGGGUGGAGGGAGUAUAUAUGAAGGGGAGCUGUGACGUAACCUGUAAGGUUAUUGUCAUGUGACUAGGAGGUUACGGGUUCAAGUUGUGUAAACAACCUCUUAAAGAAAUGCAAUGCAGGAUAAGAUUGUGUACAAUAGACCUUUGUGGUCCGGACUUUUCCGGACUCCAUACAAAGUGGGAGCUUUAGUGCAUUUGUGUGUGUGUGUGUGUGUGUAUAUAUAUAUGUAUGUAUGUAUUUUGCAUCAUUUUGUGUAAAUGGUGAAUGUUAAUGUUAGUAGCUAAAUAAUUAUUGCUAUGAGGCAAAUUGAGUUUUAAGAGUCAGUGGGUUUUAGAGGCGGAGUCAGUAUUUCAACUUUUAUGUGUUUUGGAUUUUAAAUGGCGAUUUCAGUUGAUAGUAGCCCAUUUUUAUUUGCCUUGGUGAUGGAUGUUUUGACACGAUGUAUACAAGGGGAGGUGCAUUGGUUGGUGUAUGUUAUUUGCUGUGAUGUCAAUUUCGUAAAUUCACUCAUUCCACCUCAAUCAUCAUGCAUUGUUGAUUCUUUUGAAUCAAAGCUGUUAAAUAUGGACUUGCGAUCCAUCGGUGGAAAAUCAUUGCCUGAAUUUUCACUUCUUCAUAAAUCUCCUCAUAUUCAUGGCCCUAAAGUUCUUCAAGUAAUUAUCUUCCCUUCUGAAGAUAUAUUUUUUAAUCAUAUUAACAUGAUAAUGAUUGCAACUUAUAAUACUUUUCAUAUAGUUUAUGAUAUCUAAAUUCGGAAAAGUGAUAUAUAUACUCCCGAACUAUGAUAAAUGGUACGUAUAUACCCUCCGUCAUACUUUGGGUAUACAUAUGCCCCUAUCGUUAGUGUGAGGGGCACAUACAUACCAUUUUAUUAACGGUAGGGCCAUAUGUGUACCCAUAGUAUGACGGAGGGUAUAUACUUAUCACUUAUCAUAGUUCGAGGGUAUAUUUGUCCCUUUUCCGAUCUAAAUUUUUAAAUAUUAAGUUAAUCUACUUUAAGUUAGGCCAAGAUGUUAGUCAAAUUAAUUCUCGUGAAGUGAAAUAGGCCAAGUUAAAAAGGGGUGGAGGGAGUAUAUAUGAAGGGGAGCUGUGACGUAACCUGUAAGGUUAUUGUCAUGUGACUAGGAGGUUACGGGUUCAAGUUGUGUAAACAACCUCUUAAAGAAAUGCAAUGCAGGAUAAGAUUGUGUACAAUAGACCUUUGUGGUCCGGACUUUUCCGGACUCCAUACAAAGUGGGAGCUUUAGUGCAUUUGUGUGUGUGUGUGUGUGUGUAUAUAUAUAUGUAUGUAUGUA